UCCCCACCUUCACCCCUUCGGCCACCUUCACUGGAGAGUAGCCUCUCGCGUAUCGGUCCUGCGGCCUCUCGGAUGGUGGUGGGGUCUGUGACCUCCCCUACCUGGCAGGGGAGGAGGGGCAAGCACAUUCGGGCCUUGACCUGGACCACACAGCCCCCGCCUCCCCCAGGGCUUCUCGGAUGAGCGGCACGGGGACGUGGUGGUGGUGCGGCCCAUGCGGGACCACACCCUGAAGGAGGUCGCUUUCUACAACCGCCUGUUCUCUGUUCCUUCUGUCUUCACACCAGCCGUCGACACCAAGGCCCCUGAAAAGGCCAGCAUCCACCGGCUGAUGGAGGCUUUCAUCCUCAGGCUGCAGACCCAGUUCCCCUCCACUGUCAGCACUGUGUACAGGACAAGUGAGAAGCUGGUGAAAGGCCCCCGGGACGGCCCUGCUGCCGGCGACUCCGGCCCCCGCUGCCUCCUCUGCAUGUGUGCCCUGGACGUCGACGCCGCUGACAGUGCCACGGCUUUUGGGGCUCAGACCUCCUCGCAUCUCUCCCAGAUGCAGUCACCCAUCCCCCUGACUGAGACCCGGACACCCCCGGGGCCCUGCUGUUCUCCAGGGGUGGGCUGGGCCCAGCGCUGCGGCCAGGGGGCCUGCAGGAGGGAGGACCCCCAAACCUGCAUUGAGGAGCAGCUGUGCUACAGCUGCCGCGUGAACAUGAAGGACUUGGGCCUGGGGCUUGCAGGAGAUCCGGGACUGUCUGAUUGAGGACAGUGACGACGAGGCAGGCCAGAGCUGAGCGUGAGGACGUGCUGGCCGGGACAGCAGGCAGUGGCCACCUGGUCCACCACACUGGAGCCGGAAGGCAAGGACGGGGGACUGGCCUCUGAUUGUCCAUUUGUAUAAAUAAAA
This 898-nucleotide small RNA is filed under the name Pan troglodytes (chimpanzee). RNAcentral describes it as "retained intron". Lineage: Eukaryota; Metazoa; Chordata; Mammalia; Primates; Hominidae. The record is from RNAcentral.